AGUGGCUCAGUCAAUGUCGGAGCAAGCGUUCGGCACUCCACCGCUGUCCUUUCGGCGCCCAAAGCUGGUUUGAGACCGAGGACUAGUGGCGGGAUUAGGCCAGACCCCUUUGCCCCUUUUGACAACCUGGUGGAAUUGAUCAGGGCCAUGUCCUUGGUCAGCUAAGCCACACCUGAUGACCUGGGGACAGAGGAAAAGAGGCCAGGGUAGAGACCCUUGGAUUCGCUCAUUUGGAUUUUGGAUUUUGACCUGACUUUCUUUGUCAACCCUCAUGCCAGCUCCAGGUAACGGGUGGUGAGACCCUUGGAAAUCUCCAAGAGAAGCUUCAAGAGUCAACUCCACCAGUAGUGCCUGCAGUUGGAACACUGAUGCUGACGGAAGAAUCUGUAGUGUCUCUCACAAGCGAUGAGGCCAAAGAGUGUACCUAGUUCCUGGCACCGAACACGAAAGAAGAUGUCCCAGGAGAGAGUAGGUUUCCUACUGGUUUGUUGUCAAAGACCGUGCUCCUUUUCGUCCUUUCUUUUGGAUAGAUGCAGACAUACAGCAACUACUGAAAGGAUUCAGUCAGAGAGAGGAUCUGUCACCACAGGAGGCAUUGCCCAUGCGAAAUGGGAAGGGAGGAAGGGGAGGAGGAUUGCUUAAAUAAUGCGAGUGACCAGCCAGCGGGCAGGCUGGUGUGGCUGGCUCAGCAAGAACAAUGAUCUCAUUAAUGGACUCAGGAGGCACCAACUCCGAAGUCAUCUGAAGAUGAAUGAAAACCCCGUGAUAAGCUGGGUACCACAGUGGUCAGAGAAGGAGGAGACACACUGACCUUUUAUUUUUCCUUCAUUUUUUUUCAAACAAAGACGCUGGACGAGAGCAUCAAGCCCAAAAGAGAAGCGUGUUCCAGGCAGGACUUCUUGAGGCUUGGUGGAGAGAUUUACAUCCACAAACCAUUCAGUGCGUCCUUUGGUAACCUUGACCCUGAGAGUGAAUGUGAUGACCCUGCAGCUUUUGGUCCUCUCCAUCCCUACAGAAGCUGCAGACUGUACUCAGAGAGACCUCACAAAAUGGAGGCAAGUUAAAGAGAGAAAUGGUCCAUGGCGUAUUCUCUUACCUUCCAUAAAUUGGCGUCACUUUGGGCCACCAUCCAGGGGAGGAAAACCAGCCAAUAGAAACAGAGAAAGAAGAUUAGAAACUGAUGCAAGGAAGGAGGUUUGUCGUGUUGCUGUCCUCAGGAUGGGGUGUGCACCUGCCUCCCGACCAUAAUGAUUUUUUCCAACAAAAGAAGCAACAUGGAGCAAACGUACAAAGAAACUUUUUCUAAAUACCGGUGCCUUUGCUUGGGGUCUUACCCAGCCACAGGCUGCAGGUAGGGGUGUGCGUGUCAGCGGAGAAUUGAAAAAGAUUGUCAGCCUUUGUUUUCAGUCUGCCCAGGUUGGAGAAAACAAACUGCAUAGUGAGGGCAGAACUGGUGAGUGAGUGAGUGAGUGGGUGGAUGAGUGAGUGAGUGGGUCCCUCCUCCCACUGUAUUAAAAAGCUGCAGCAGCCCCAAGUUUGGGCUUUACGUCAUAGUUUGACCCUGGCGAAAGAGACUGUGCGUUAAAACCAAACCAAUUCUAAGUUUAAAACUAUACAUUGAAAAGCCCUUUCUUCUAGCACAUCAGCACAAAGAAGAAUAUGCUACAUACCAUCUUCGAAAGCACCCUCAUGCUUCUAGAUUGCCAAAUCCCAGCUGCCUGAGCCAGUGCGACUAGGGGCCAGGGGUGCUGAGCCAAGCGUUGAAAGCACGCUGAGUCCUGAGCUCCAGUUCAUUCUUCCUGAGAUGGGGGACUUGGCUGUGAAGCCACAGGAGGCUGCAGGGGUAGAGGUUGGGGGCAGGAAGAGGAGGAAGUGAGCAGGGGGCAUGCCUGGGAAGGCUCGGGGAGAGUAACCAAUCCCUUCACUGGAGGCAGGUGGGUGUCUCCAGGGUCAUUAUCGAGCAACCUGUGAAGGCAACUGGAGGAAAGAGAUUUCCGGAAGUCUCCCGCUCUCCCUCCUGCCUGCUUCCCUCCUUCUCCUAGCGGUUGAUUGCAAGGAGCGGCGGAAGGAAGGAUGUAUCAAACCCAAAGAAGAAAGAACCCCUGCCACUCGCCCCCACGACGCUGACUCUGAACUGCAGCAAUGUGGUGGCAGCCGAGUGUGGCAGCAUUCACAGCCCCGGUAGUGGGGGCAGAAGGCAAAUCAGAUUCCGAAAGGGGCUGACUGUUUCCUUUAGCCCGGUAGGCACAGGGUCCAUAUCAAAGGGAAAGAGAGCAGCAAGUCUGCAGCAAUCUCACAUCAGGUCCCCGACAGAGGGGUGCGGGGUGGGGGUGGGGCCCAAGUCCCAAAAGAUGCCAAAACCAGCUGAGUUUCUAGACCUCAUUUCUGUGUCUCUUCCUCUGCACCAAGAAGCAAAGUACAGUCAGAAUCCCUCUGUUACAAUUAGUCCAGAGCAGGGCCGAGCAGUGGGUCAUCUUGCAUGCCCCGAAGCACAACUUUUCGUUUAUCCUGCUUGCUUUUCACCUGCAUAGAAUUCCCCCUAGGGGAGGGUGGGUCUUUACAAGCACUAAAAAUGAGUUUUUAUCCCCUGUACACAGGAAAAUGCCAGAACAAGCAUCAGAGCUUUUCCCGAGAUAAACGAUGGGCCCCCAAACUUGCACACAAUCAAGGGACAGCUGGUGACACCAGUGACUGUGCUUCUCUUUCUAGCUCCUUCACUGACUUGGGCAAAUCUUAUAGGGCAGCCGAGCAUCUAGAUCCUGAAUUCUCACUUAGACCAAGAAAGGCCCAGCUAGGGAGAAAUGAGGUGGUCGCAAUACUUAGGAUGAAAAGGGAUCACUUGGUGGUAGGAAUAUCUAUCUAUUUCCGCACGUCCUUGUCCUUGAAGUUGGCCUGGGAAAGGAGUGUCAGAGAGUGCGCUGGAACUGGUCCUUUCUGAUGUCCGCCCCAUUCCCUGUUGAUAACAUGUCUCCAGGCCCCACAUCUCACUGAGAGGAAAUAUGACUUGUUUUGAGGCGUCCUCGCGCCUCCAUAUUUUUUUUGAGCCUUUCUGUGUCUGCCGUGAAGCUGUUACUAUUGUUGCAUUCCCUCUUUUUUCUGUUUUCUGUGAAAAAGCUGUGGAGCUUUCAAAAACUGGUGACCACCAGAAAGGGACAGAAAAGACAAAGGAAUCUUUUGUUUGCUCUCUGUGGGGUGUUUCACUGCUAUUUGGUUUCUCUUUCCUAUGGAACCCUAAUAAAAUUUUGUGUGGAGAUGAGGGGACCUUUUGUCUGUGGUGAGGGGACAGCUAUGUGAGGUGGAAGCGAUUUGUUUUCUGUUUUAUGUCUUGUAACUUUUCAUUUUUCUGUGCCACUUCACUGUGAAAGAGCUAUUGCUUGCUCACUCAGUCAUUCAACAAACUUGUUUCCAGUAUAUGCUUUGAGAGGCAUAGGCUGAACGCUGUCUUUAAAAGGUAUGUUUCCCUGAAAAUCGCUUUCCCACCCCCAGGGCCUGCCAAUCUUUGGAGAGAGUGCUUCUUUGAGAAAAGAUGAGCAGAGUACAGAUCCACCCAAAGAAUGCGUCUCGCAUCUCCACUCUUCCUGACCUAGAGGUCAUGGCAGGCAUCCUCUGAAACACAGGAGCUGCAAAGGCUCCAGCAGGGGAUGGCGGGCAUGAAUUUGGAAAAUACUAGUAGCAGCCUCUCGUGGAGGCAGCUCCUCUGGUUCAUAGGAAGCUUUCACGCUGGAGCAGAGCAAGCGUUAGUUAAUAUGGGGAUUAGUCAGGCAGGAGCUCAAACCCAUGGUCCCUCCUUGCUGGGCUCUGUGGUUAGGCCUGGGGAAAAGUGCCUAAGACCAGCCACCUGAUUACUGGGCAGCACAGCAGUGCUCGCGAAGCGCUGGACACACAGUGCAUUUCACAAGAGUUAGCCAUGGCUCACACUUGUAAUGUCUGUGACACACAUCCCAAAAAGGUCAGGUCCCCUACAGGACACACAAGGACAGCAUCCAAAUCUUGUUCACCUGGCUUAGUCUUCCUGUCAGGUGCUCACCUGGUGUGCUCCUCCAUUCACAAAACGGAACGAACAGAAACGGAAAGAUAAUUUAAAAAAGUCAGAAGAACUAUUAUUUUAGGGACCAAGUGUGGUUUCAAAACGGGGUUAUUUCUGUUCCUGGGGGUGUUUCCUUGGACCCAGAAUCAGCAUUAAAGCAAUCGCACGCGUGCGCGCACGUGCACACACACACACACACACACACACGCACACACACACACCCCUCCACCAAAACUAAACUGGCUUUCAAGUUUUGAUCCUUGUGACAUUUAUCCUCAGAAGUGAUGGGACCCACAAUUAGAGGACCCAGGACUGAGUUAAUCUUUGAGGGACAAAUUGUGGCACAUUCUGCUUUCUCAGGCUGUUUUACAUCUAAAUGUCUUUGUCAGUGAUUUAUGAUCUUCUGUGAUUGUUUAUUUAGUUUCCUACAUCUUUAAAAAAGAAAAGAAAAGACAGCUUUUAGGGUCAGCCUUCAUGAACAGUGGCUGGAUAUCUCCACAGUGUCAGCCAGCUUCUGGCUUCUGCUGUGACCCAAGCAUGAUGACCAGGAAUGUGACAUGCCCUCAGCCAGCCAGUCACAGGUCACGUCCAGAUAUGCCCCGUCCAGAUACGCUCCUCCUGCCAUUCGAACGAACUAGGGUUCUGGGACAAGGUGGGGGGUAGGGGUGGGGGUGGGAGUCAGAAAACCUGGCUGAUUCAAAUGGAUUUCCUUCCACUCUUCAUGUUCAAGCAUUCUGAGUUUGAGAAAAACCCCAAACACUUGGAGCCCCCAGGCACUUUUUCCAUUCAUUUUUUAAACUGAUGUGUAUGUCAAGGGAAAUUUAAUACACAGGUUUCUGAUCCAUUUACACUUAACUCAUCAAAAUAUUGUUCUGUUAAGAGGCAUUUGGUGUCCAAAAAAAUCUUAAGAGCCUUUUUAUAAGCUUUUAACCUUCUUUUUGACUUUGAGAAACGCAAGUUGCAAGUCUCCCCAGUGUAAACAGGAGCCAGUCUCUGGUGGGGGGAGGGGAGAAGGCAGAGUGGGAGGGAGGUGGGAAGAAGGUGCCAGGACCCACUGACCUCAGCCCUGGAGAGGGACAGGAACCCGGAGCCCAGGGCUCUCCAAUCCCCUCCUGGCGCUCACUGUCUCACCCACAAUCAGGGAAAAAAACGAUUGAUGGUUCCACCUUUUUGAAUUCUGAAGGUAAAGGCAAGCUCUUUUAGGGGUCUUGCUGUUGGCAGAGAAAGCUCCCAAGUGUUCUAGGAGAAGGAUAUAAACUCCCAAAAUUUUACUUCCAGGCAAGACCCCCCUUUUUUUUCCCCUUCAAAGAAAGUGCUCAUAAUGUGUCCUUUCAUUUAUAAUUUUAUGAAGGUCUCAAUUGAACAUGUAAAGAAAGUGGAAAAACUCUAAGUUGCCAUGGAUGUUUGGCAUUUUUCCCCACUCUACUAAAAUCUACUUUCUCCCCCAAGUGAAGUAGUUUCAGAGAUUCCUAUAAAUGGGGGGAGGGGGGAAGGACAGUGGGGCAGCUGUGUGGAAUCAGAGUCCUCAAGGAAUACAUUUGUAUUUUAAUUAUUGGAGUAUAAUCUGCAUAGGUUUUCACCCUAUUUCACUUGGCUUCCUAGGUUAAAAGGAAAUUGCCUUACAUUUCACAAUGCCCAUAACUUCGCAAAUGGGCGCUCACAUGUUUUAUCUCGUUUCACCAACAGAUCUGCAACGUGGCAAAUGUGGCGGAGCCUAGCAUCUCUUGUUUAGGUUUGAGUGUUUGUUGUGUAUUGUUUUUAUUUUUCUGGUUUUCUAAAAACAGGAAAAAAACUCGAGAAUAAAAGA
This is a long non-coding RNA of Hipposideros armiger (great roundleaf bat), 5834 nucleotides long. RefSeq lists it as uncharacterized. The record is from RefSeq and is a predicted model, not a curated record. The transcript has 5 exons. NCBI's taxonomy places the organism in Eukaryota, Metazoa, Chordata, Mammalia, Chiroptera, Hipposideridae.